GACGAACGCUGGCGGCGUGCUUAACACAUGCAAGUCGAACGGAAAGGCCCUGCUUUUGUGUGGUGCUCGAGUGGCGAACGGGUGAGUAACACGUGAGUAACCUGCCCUUGACUUUGGGAUAACUUCAGGAAACUGGGGCUAAUACCGGAUAGGAGCUCCUGCUGCAUGGUGGGGGUUGGAAAGUUUCGGCGGUUGGGGAUGGACUCGCGGCUUAUGAGCUUGUUGGUGGGGUAGUGGCUUACCAAGGCUUUGACGGGUAGCCGGCCUGAGAGGGUGACCGGCGACAUUGGGACUAAGAUACGGCGCAGACUCGUACGGGAGGCAGCAGUGGAGAGUAUGGCACAAUGGGCGGACGCCUGAUGCGGCGGCGCCGCGUGCGGGAUGACGGCCUUCGGGUGGUGAACCGCUUUCGCCUGUGACGAAGCGUGAGUGACGGUAAUGGGUAAAGAAGCACCGGCUAACUACGUG
Molecule: ribosomal RNA, 468 nt
Filed under: uncultured bacterium
Lineage: Bacteria
Description: partial 16S ribosomal RNA
Rfam family: Bacterial small subunit ribosomal RNA
Source: RNAcentral